This 492-nucleotide ribosomal RNA is filed under the name uncultured bacterium. RNAcentral's name for it is "partial 16S ribosomal RNA". It matches the Rfam family "Bacterial small subunit ribosomal RNA", at positions 29 to 507 of the family's 1533-position model. The record is from RNAcentral.
AUUGAACGCUGGCGGCAUGCUCUACACAUGCAAGUCGAACGGUAACAGGCCUUCGGGUGCUGACGAGUGGCGAACGGGUGAGUAAUGCAUCGGAACGUACCCAGAGGUGGGGGAUAACGCAGCGAAAGCUGUGCUAAUACCGCAUGUGAUCUGAGGAUGAAAGCGGGGGACCGAGCAGCAAUGUUUGGCCUCGCGCCUUUGGAGCGGCCGAUGUCGGAUUAGCCAGUUGGUGGGGUAAAGGCCUACCAAGGCGACGAUCCGUAGCUGGUCUGAGAGGACGACCAGCCACACUGGGACUGAGACACGGCCCAGACUCCUACGGGAGGCAGCAGUGGGGAAUUUUGGACAAUGGGCGCAAGCCUGAUCCAGCAAUGCCGCGUGCGGGAAGAAGGCCUUCGGGUUGUAAACCGCUUUUGGCAGGAACGAAACGGUGUCCGCUAAUACCGGGCGCUAAUGACGGUACCUGCAGAAUAAGCACCGGCUAACUACGUG